Molecule: ribosomal RNA, 692 nt
Filed under: uncultured Bacteroides sp.
Lineage: Bacteria; Pseudomonadati; Bacteroidota; Bacteroidia; Bacteroidales; Bacteroidaceae
Description: bacterial SSU rRNA
Rfam family: Bacterial small subunit ribosomal RNA
Source: RNAcentral
CGCUAGCUACAGGCUUAACACAUGCAAGUCGAGGGGCAGCAUGAAGUUUGCUUGCAAACUUUGAUGGCGACCGGCGCACGGGUGGGUAACACGUAUCCAACCUGCCGAUAACUCGGGGAUAGCCUUUCGAAAGAAAGAUUAAUACCCGAUGGCAUGGAAAGUCCGCAUGGUCUUUCCAUUAAAGAACUUCGGUUAUCGAUGGGGAUGCGUCCCAUUAGAUAGUAGGCGGGGUAACGGCCCACCUAGUCAACGAUGGAUAGGGGUUCUGAGAGGAAGGUCCCCCACAUUGGAACUGAGACACGGUCCAAACUCCUACGGGAGGCGGCAGUGAGGAAUAUUGGUCAAUGGACGAGAGUCUGAACCAGCCAAGUAGCGUGAAGGAUGACUGCCCUAUGGGUUGUAAACUUCUUUUAUACGGGAAUAAAGUGUUCCACGUGUGGAAUUUUGUAUGUACCGUAUGAAUAAGGAUCGGCUAACUCCGUGCCAGCAGCCGCGGUAAUACGGAGGAUCCGAGCGUUAUCCGGAUUUAUUGGGUUUAAAGGGAGCGUAGGUGGAAGAUUAAGUCAGCCUGUGAAAGUUUGCGGCUCAACCGUAAAAUUGCAGUUGAUACUGGUUUUCUUGAGUGCAGUAGAGGUGGGCGGAAUUCGUGGUGUAGCGGUGAAAUGCUUAGAUAUCACGAAAAAGUCCGAUUG